AAAUUGAAGAGUUUGAUCAUGGCUCAGAUUGAACGCUGGCGGCAGGCCUAACACAUGCAAGUCGAGCGGUAGCACAGAGAGCUUGCUCUCGGGUGACGAGCGGCGGACGGGUGAGUAAUGUCUGGGAAACUGCCUGAUGGAGGGGGAUAACUACUGGAAACGGUAGCUAAUACCGCAUAACGUCGCAAGACCAAAGUGGGGGACCUUCGGGCCUCAUGCCAUCAGAUGUGCCCAGAUGGGAUUAGCUAGUAGGUGGGGUAACGGCUCACCUAGGCGACGAUCCCUAGCUGGUCUGAGAGGAUGACCAGCCACACUGGAACUGAGACACGGUCCAGACUCCUACGGGAGGCAGCAGUGGGGAAUAUUGCACAAUGGGCGCAAGCCUGAUGCAGCCAUGCCGCGUGUGUGAAGAAGGCCUUCGGGUUGUAAAGCACUUUCAGCGGGGAGGAAGGCGAUAAGGUUAAUAACCUUGUCGAUUGACGUUACCCGCAGAAGAAGCACCGGCUAACUCCGUGCCAGCAGCCGCGGUAAUACGGAGGGUGCA
Molecule: ribosomal RNA, 544 nt
Filed under: Klebsiella pneumoniae
Lineage: Bacteria; Pseudomonadati; Pseudomonadota; Gammaproteobacteria; Enterobacterales; Enterobacteriaceae
Description: bacterial SSU rRNA
Rfam family: Bacterial small subunit ribosomal RNA
Source: RNAcentral